Molecule: long non-coding RNA, 1266 nt
Organism: Esox lucius (northern pike)
Lineage: Eukaryota; Metazoa; Chordata; Actinopteri; Esociformes; Esocidae
Source: Ensembl
GUCGUUUUUCCUCCUCUCUCUCACUUUCUUCAUUCAUCACAGCACUGGAAGGUCCUGUAACGUGUGUUGAGUUCCAUCAGUCUCCUUCCCUGAUAGUUAAAGAUGGGGGAGACGUGGAGAUUCACUGUAGCCAUAAUGACAAUAACCUGCCUGUGAUGUUGUGGUACCAACAGAAACAGGCCAGUUCUGCUCUGUCUCUGAUAGGUCAGUGUGGAGCAGGAGGCCCCGUCGUGCUCCAGCCCAGAGACCUCUUCUCCUUUCCUGGUAACACCAGUACCUCCGGUCCGGUCAUCCUGACGUGCUCCAUGGGCCCUGGCAUCAGCAUGUCCAGCUACACCAUGUACUGGUACCGACAGGUCCGCUACGGUGGCCCGGUAGAGUUCCUCAUAAAGGAAUACGAUGCCCCUACGGGCCAGUACCAGGUGACCUUGGACCCGACAGGGAACAGCUUCGUCCUGCAGGUCUCAGACCUGGUUGUGGAGGACACUGCUGUUUACUACUGCGCAGCCAGUCACAGUAAAGCAACAGGCUGGGGGGCCAUACAAAUAUUUAAAUGUUUAUGUCUCUGUACUAUACUUGCCUGCCCGCCUGUCUACCUGUUUGCCUGCAUUUCUGUCUGCCAGUCUAUCUGUCUAACAGAUGGUGUAUCUGGCAGGAAGACGUUGUUAAAUGUGGUUCUUCUGGUUUGAGGAUAGACUGUCUCUAUAUUACAGUACAACAGACAGUAAAAGUAAAUAAUGUGCAACAUCCAUUCAUUAUACUCUUUCAAGAUCGACACAUGAAGCCAUGUAACCAUUAUUGUUUCAAGAUACCCCCAUGAAGCCGAAUAGUCCUUUACACUUACACUGUUUCAAGAUACCCCCAUGAAGCCGAAUAGUCCUUUACACUUACACUGUUUCAAGAUACCCCCAUGAAGCCGAAUAGUCCUUUACACUUACACUGUUUCAAGAUACCCCCAUGAAGCCGAAUAGUCGUUUACUGUUUCAAGACACCCACAUAGUCCUUCUCUGUUUCAAAACACCCCCAUGAAGCCAUAAGGACCUUUGCUGUUUCAAGAUCCCCAAUGAACGAAUUAAGCCAAAUCUAAUUAGUAAUCUGGCUUACCAAAGAGGUGUUUCAGACAGUAAGGAUAAACUUCAAACUAUAGAGCAAAAAAAACUCAUACGUAAGCCAAUGUUACAAUAUGAGAGAAAGAGGUGGAUGAAAAGAGAGAAAGGGGGAGGGAGAUGGAGAGGGAGAGAGAAAUGGAAAUAAGAGAGAUUGGGU